Molecule: ribosomal RNA, 361 nt
Filed under: uncultured bacterium
Lineage: Bacteria
Description: partial 16S ribosomal RNA
Rfam family: Bacterial small subunit ribosomal RNA
Source: RNAcentral
CCUACGGGCGGCAGCAGUGAGGAAUAUUGGUCAAUGGGCGGGAGCCUGAACCAGCCAAGUCGCGUGAGGGAAGACGGUCCUAUGGAUUGUAAACCUCUUUAGGCGGGGAGCAAUGCCGGGCACGCGUGCCCGGAGGGAGAGUACCCGCCGAAUAAGCAUCGGCUAACUCCGUGCCAGCAGCCGCGGUAAUACGGAGGAUGCGAGCGGUAUCCGGAUUUAUUGGGUUUAAAGGGUGCGUAGGCGGAUUGUUAAGUCAGCGGUAAAAUGUACGGGCUCAACCCGGGCCGGCCGUUGAAACUGGGGAACUAGAGUGAGAGAGAGGUAUGCGGAAUGCGAGGUGUAGCGGUGAAAUGCAUAGAUA